GUAGUCUGUGAUGAUGUAAUUCUCUGUUGGCCUGAAUUCUUUUUGGAAUAUGAGGGCAACUUAAGUCACUACCUCUUCUGAGACAC
Athene cunicularia (burrowing owl) is the source of this 86-nucleotide small nucleolar RNA. Ensembl annotates it as small nucleolar RNA SNORD11. The record is from Ensembl. Lineage: Eukaryota; Metazoa; Chordata; Aves; Strigiformes; Strigidae.